Molecule: ribosomal RNA, 2243 nt
Filed under: Proteus mirabilis
Lineage: Bacteria; Pseudomonadati; Pseudomonadota; Gammaproteobacteria; Enterobacterales; Morganellaceae
Description: partial 23S ribosomal RNA
Rfam family: Bacterial large subunit ribosomal RNA
Source: RNAcentral
AGUUGCAGGGUAUAGACCCGAAACCCGGUGAUCUAUCCAUGGGCAGGUUGAAGGUUGGGUAACACUAACUGGAGGACCGAACCGACUAAUGUUGAAAAAUUAGCGGAUGACUUGUGGAUGGGGGUGAAAGGCCAAUCAAACCGGGAGAUAGCUGGUUCUCCCCGAAAGCUAUUUAGGUAGCGCCUCGUGAACUCAUCUUCGGGGGUAGAGCACUGUUUCGACUAGGGGGUCAUCCCGACUUACCAACUCGAUGCAAACUGCGAAUACCGAAGAAUGUUAUCACGGGAGACACACGGCGGGUGCUAACGUCCGUCGUGAAGAGGGAAACAACCCAGACCGCCAGCUAAGGUCCCAAAGUCAUGGUUAAGUGGGAAACGAAGUGGGAAGGCUCAGACAGCCAGGAUGUUGGCUUAGAAGCAGCCAUCAUUUAAAGAAAGCGUAAUAGCUCACUGGUCGAGUCGGCCCGCGCGGAAGAUGUAACGGGGCUAAACCAUGCACCGAAGCUGCGGCAGCGACACAAAGUGUUGUUGGGUAGGGGAGCGUUCUGUAAGCCUGCGAAGGUGUACUGUGAGGUAUGCUGGAGGUAUCAGAAGUGCGAAUGCUGACAUAAGUAACGAUAAUGCGGGUGAAAAACCCGCACGCCGGAAGACCAAGGGUUCCUGUCCAACGUUAAUCGGGGCAGGGUGAGUCGACCCCUAAGGCGAGGCUGAAAAGCGUAGUCGAUGGGAAACGGGUUAAUAUUCCCGUACUGGUGGUAACUGCGAUGGGGGAACGGAGAAGGCUAGGUUGUCCGGGCGACGGUCGUCCCGGUUCAAGCAGGUAGGCAGAGUGAUUAGGCAAAUCCGGUCACUUAAUGCUGAGAUGUGAUGACGAACCACUAAGGUGGUGAAGCAAUUGAUGCCCCGCUUCCAGGAAAAGCCUCUAAGCUUCAGGUUACCAACAAUCGUACCCCAAACCGACACAGGUGGUCAGGUAGAGAAUACUCAGGCGCUUGAGAGAACUCGGGUGAAGGAACUAGGCAAAAUGGUGCCGUAACUUCGGGAGAAGGCACGCUGGCGGUAGGUAAAGUCCCUCGCGGACAGAGCUGAAGCCAGUCGAAGAUACCAGCUGGCUGCAACUGUUUAUUAAAAACACAGCACUGUGCAAACACGAAAGUGGACGUAUACGGUGUGACGCCUGCCCGGUGCUGGAAGGUUAAUUGAUGGGGUUAGCGCAAGCGAAGCUCCUGAUCGAAGCCCCAGUAAACGGCGGCCGUAACUAUAACGGUCCUAAGGUAGCGAAAUUCCUUGUCGGGUAAGUUCCGACCUGCACGAAUGGCGUAAUGAUGGCCAGGCUGUCUCCACCCGAGACUCAGUGAAAUUGAACUCGCUGUGAAGAUGCAGUGUACCCGCGGCAAGACGGAAAGACCCCGUGAACCUUUACUAUAGCUUGACACUGAACAUUGAGCCUUGAUGUGUAGGAUAGGUGGGAGGCUUUGAAGUGUGGACGCCAGUCUGCAUGGAGCCAACCUUGAAAUACCACCCUUUAACGUUUGAUGUUCUAACCUAGGCCCAUAAACUGGGUCGGGGACCGUGUCUGGUGGGUAGUUUGACUGGGGCGGUCUCCUCCUAAAGAGUAACGGAGGAGCACGAAGGUUGGCUAAGCAUGGUCGGACAUCAUGCGGUUAGUGCAAAGGCAUAAGCCAGCUUGACUGCGAGAGUGACGGCUCGAGCAGGUACGAAAGUAGGUCUUAGUGAUCCGGUGGUUCUGAAUGGAAGGGCCAUCGCUCAACGGAUAAAAGGUACUCCGGGGAUAACAGGCUGAUACCGCCCAAGAGUUCAUAUCGACGGCGGUGUUUGGCACCUCGAUGUCGGCUCAUCACAUCCUGGGGCUGAAGUAGGUCCCAAGGGUAUGGCUGUUCGCCAUUUAAAGUGGUACGCGAGCUGGGUUUAGAACGUCGUGAGACAGUUCGGUCCCUAUCUGCCGUGGGCGUUGGAAGAUUGAGAGGGGUUGCUCCUAGUACGAGAGGACCGGAGUGAACGCACCACUGGUGUUCGGGUUGUCAUGCCAAUGGCAUUGCCCGGUAGCUAAGUGCGGAAGAGAUAACCGCUGAAAGCAUCUAAGCGGGAAACUUGCCUCGAGAUGAGUCUUCCCUGUCGCUUUAAGCGACCUAAAGGAACGUUUAAGACUAAGACGUUGAUAGGCUGGGUGUGUAAGCGUAGCGAUACGUUGAGCUAACCAGUACUAAUGAACCGUGAGGCUUA